CCUACGGGAGGCAGCAGUGGGGAAUUUUGGACAAUGGGCGAAAGCCUGAUCCAGCAAUGCCGCGUGAGUGAAGAAGGCCUUCGGGUUGUAAAGCUCUUUUGUCAGGGAAGAAACGGUGAGGGCUAAUAUCUCUUGCUAAUGACGGUACCUGAAGAAUAAGCACCGGCUAACUACGUGCCAGCAGCCGCGGUAAUACGUAGGGUGCAAGCGUUAAUCGGAAUUACUGGGCGUAAAGCGUGCGCAGGCGGUUUUGUAAGUCUGUCGUGAAAUCCCCGGGCUCAACCUGGGAAUUGCGAUGGAGACUGCAAGGCUAGAAUCUGGCAGAGGGGGGUAGAAUUCCACGUGUAGCAGUGAAAUGCGUAGAGAUGUGGAGGAACACCGAUGGCGAAGGCAGCCCCCUGGGUCAAGAUUGACGCUCAUGCACGAAAGCGUGGGGAGCAAACAGGAUUAGAUACCCUGGUAGUCCACGCCCUAAACGAUGUCUACUAGUUGUCGGGUUUUAAUUAACUUGGUAACGCAGCUAACGCGUGAAGUAGACCGCCUGGGGAGUACGGUCGCAAGAUUAAAACUCAAAUGAAUUGACGGCUGAGAGAGCGAGACGACGACGAGGGAGGAGG
Molecule: ribosomal RNA, 617 nt
Filed under: uncultured bacterium
Lineage: Bacteria
Description: bacterial SSU rRNA
Rfam family: Bacterial small subunit ribosomal RNA
Source: RNAcentral